CAUACCUAUUCGAAGGGAUAGGGUCGGUUCGGCCGGAUUUCACACAGGUGUUGCAUGGCUGUCGUCAGCUCGUGUCGUGAGAUGUUGGGUUAAGUCCCGCAACGAGCGUAACCCUCAUUCUUAGUUGCCAUCAGGUAAUGCUGGGGACUUUAAGGAAACUGCCAGUGAUAAACUGGAGGAAGGUGGGGAUGAUGUCAAGUCAUCAUGGCCCUUAUGGAGUGGGCUACACACGUGCUACAAUGGUGGCUACAAUGGGCUGCAAAGUCGCGAGGCCAAGCUAAUCCCUUAAAAGCCAUCUCAGUUCGGAUUGUACUCUGCAACUCGAGUGCAUGAAGUUGGAAUCGCUAGUAAUCGUGGAUCAGCACGCCACGGUGAAUACGUUCUCGGGUCUUGUACACACUGCCCGUCACGCCAUGGGAAUUGGUUUCACUCGAAGCU
This 438-nucleotide ribosomal RNA is filed under the name Candidatus Wolbachia massiliensis. RNAcentral describes it as "bacterial SSU rRNA". It matches the Rfam family "Bacterial small subunit ribosomal RNA", at positions 992 to 1428 of the family's 1533-position model. The record is from RNAcentral. Lineage: Bacteria; Pseudomonadati; Pseudomonadota; Alphaproteobacteria; Rickettsiales; Anaplasmataceae.